GUACGAAGAAAACGGAAAAACGGUGACAAAGUUCAGAGGAAGAUAAACAUUACGAGGAUUAAGUAGGUAAUGCAUUCAACAGAUAACAGUUAAGGGAUUAUUAGCACCAGUCAAGAGUGACAAUCAGGUUUGUCACAUGACCUGAGGGAACCCAGGAAGUCCUUGUUGCUGUGGUGUGUAGCGUUUCCUGACAGAAUGGAGAUCCACUUCCAUCCAGCUUCUUCUUAAUGGAAUGUUUCCCAGUUUCCAGGUGGAGAAGCAUCAGAGAGAAGAUGAAAGCUGAGUGGGGAGUGGAACAGGUUGCCACAAGGGGAGGAGCACACAACACCACCUAUGGCUACUUAAAAUCCUGGAUAUGUGAGCAGUGGAUACAGGGCUACAGAAGGAGCAUGCAACAUUGUCAAAAAAACAGAAAAAAAGAGGCUUUACUGCGGCCGUCUGUGGACAUGGAGCACAGAUACAUGAGACUUCAGACAACCGAUGAACUACAUUUCUCUGUAUCAGAGUUAAUGGAGCACAUGGAGAUGAAUGGGAUUUGCUGUGGACACCAAAUAACCUUGUAACAAGUUCUCCCAGAAAAAUUAUAAUAAUAACCCCAAUACAGAGAAAAAUAUAAUUUUUGGUGCCACCCUGAACCUUUUCCUCCUUUGCAGGGAUAAUGAUGCGUCAGUGAGAGUAAAUGAAAUGGGCCAAUUUUCAAAGUCAUUAUAAACUCUGUUGUUCAAAUGAAUAAAGACAGAAGGAGACUAAAGAAUAUGAGGCAAAUGAUUCACAUUGUCUGAACUUUGUAUAUAUAGUUGUUUACAUGCUUACUAUGCCUGUUCCCAGCUUCUGAAUGUGCAGCUUCACUGUGAUGUCUGUGUAUGUGCAUUGUGUAUUCUUUGAGCGUACCUUUUUUUUUUUUGUUAACAUGUGCAUGUGUAUCAACUCAACCCAAAGCCAAACUGACAGACAGCUUCCCUCUGAGGAGCCCCUUAGUGUUUCUGAUUGAUCGUCAUAAUGCCAAGGUACGGGCCCUGUCCUUGGUGCCUAUGCUAAUCACAGAAUCAUGCAUAUUUAUGAGUUCCUUGGGAAUCAACCAGCUAAAUAAAGGAUGAGGCCGUUGGCUCAUAGCUGUGUUCAUCACCGUUCCUGAUUGAUUAGUAAGAGAAGGAAAUCUGCCUAUAAAGACCAGUUUUUUCCCUCCUCCAGCUCGAGGACCAUAAUGGGAGCUCAGGCAUAACAAAAGGUGGACUUUUCCAGAUUAAACAGUAGCUGAAUA
Molecule: long non-coding RNA, 1261 nt
Organism: Solea senegalensis (Senegalese sole)
Lineage: Eukaryota; Metazoa; Chordata; Actinopteri; Pleuronectiformes; Soleidae
Exons: 3
Source: RefSeq, a predicted model, not a curated record